This is a small nucleolar RNA of Myotis lucifugus (little brown bat), 68 nucleotides long. Ensembl annotates it as small nucleolar RNA SNORD49. NCBI's taxonomy places the organism in Eukaryota, Metazoa, Chordata, Mammalia, Chiroptera, Vespertilionidae. The record is from Ensembl.
UGCUCUGAUGAAAUCACCCAUAGGAAGUGCCGUCAGAAGCAAUAACUGAUGAUAAUUCCUGGCUGACU